GUAAUAUUCCGGAUCCAAGUAUCCAAAACUACCCUUCACUAUUGUGCUCAUGUGUGUGACUGACGUAUCACUAGGACCCAUUUUCGACAAACCAAAAUCUGAAACCUUGGCAACCAUUUUCUCAUCCAACAAUAUAUUAGUCGACUUCACAUCACGAUGGAUUAUUAUGCGCUCUGCACCUGCAUGGAGAUAAUGCAGUCCCCUUGCCGCAUCUAUGCAAAUUUGUAGCCUUUUCUUCCAAGACAAUGGGGGAUUACCUCCCCCAUAUAAAUGAGCUCGGAGGGUUCCGUGAUCCAUAUAAUCAUAAACCAGUAUCAUCUCUCCAGUAUCAUCACAACAUCCGAUCAGUGGUACAAGGUGGCGGUGGCGCAGAUUUGAUAGGAUGGUGAUCUCUGUAUGAAACUCGUGAGCCCCUUGUCGUGAUGAUGGGUUCAACCGCUUGAUCGCUACAGGGCAUGUACCUUUUUUCAUAUACCCUUUAUAAACGUUACCAAAACCUCCAGUCUCAAUAACAAAAUUUUCAUCAAAAUUGUUGGUGGCUAAUUUUAUUUCCUCCACAGAAAACUUCAGGUUUCUAACAGAAGGCAAUAAAGAAAUGUCUUUGGUAGCCGAUCCGAAUUUGUUGUUGACGUCCUGAGUUUUCUUUCUUCUCCUUCUCUCCUUCUGAAUAAUAGAGAACCAAUUAUCAAUAGGAACAAGAGUAGCGCUCCCAGCGAGCCUCCUACGAGAGUGCCCACGUGUAUAGAGUGAGAGGUACCACGUUCUUGGAUGCCUUGAACCAAUAUUUCAUGAGUGGCCACAGCAAGGCUACCUCCGGGUUGACUCAGCUUAAAAAUCUCUAAUCCAUUCAGAAAGGCAGUAGGUUCAGUAGUGGAAAAUUUGUUGGGACGAGGAUGCAGGGCAAGCGACAAAGAUGGCUUAGAUACGCUAUCAUCUGGGUUAUCACUCACAAAUACAACAUAGUCUCUAUACACUGGAAUAUGUUCCCCUCCGCUCCAAGAAACAACAUUUGCAGAUUGCUCGGCUGUCUGAUUGUUAAUGGAAAUAGAAAAAACACUUUCAUUAAUGCCGUCCCGCCAAUUAUCACAAAAAUAAAGUCUUAAUAGAUAGUUAAAACCAGAAUCAACUUGAAAGCUCCAAGACAUGGUCAAUGACCAGUGGCGAAUCUAACCAAAAUAAUUCACCCAGCGGAAUUGUUUAACACGGACAGAAUUUUUUCAUAACAUAUAAAUUACAAGUAAAACAUAGUACCUUAUCUAAAUUGAGCUCUACGAUCUCCAAUAGACUCGAAAUGAUCAAUUACAUCCUCUGAAUCAACAGCAUCAACAUAUUCUUUUUCAAUGUGAAGCAUCAUACAACCUGAAAGAUAUCCGUCUUCCAUCUUGUUUCUAAGCCGAGUUUUUAUAAUUUUCAUUGCCGAGAAUGCACGUUCAGUAGUGGCAGUGGAAACAGGAAGUGUCAAGACCAAACGAAUCAAUAUAUCAACUAGGGGGAAAAGUUUAGCUAAGCCUGUUUCAACUAAUUGUCUACACAAUUGUGCAAGAGAAGACAAAUCUUGAAAAUCUUUAUGGGAAACUACUUGACAUCUAUAAUGUUCUAAUUGUAGUCUUAAAGCACGUACCUCUGAUGCAUCAAAGUCUCCUGGAUAGAACUUUUCUGCAAGUUCACAAAUCUUGUUGAUGUCAAACCUUUUAAAGUGAUCUUUAGGAUCCAAUGCAGCACUCAAAACAAGCAGUUCUAUACUUUGCUCCGUGAAUCUGUCAUUUAGCUCUGUCAUUUGGACAUCAAUAAUCACAUUAAACAUGCUAAAAUGAUAAUGAUGUUCAUUUGUGACAAAAUCAUGUUGUUGACAACCACGACCAGUCCCCAUUGAGUAGGAUGCAUCCAUUUUAGGCAUUUCAAGAUCAUGAUUUUCUCCAAAUUUAUAGACAUUUAGCAAAAACUCAUCCCAACCAUGAUCCCUCAAUUCUUGCAGAAGUGCCUUUGUACUUGAAGUCAAAUUCAUAGCAUUAACAAUAUCUUGUGAUUGUCUUUGUAAUGCUUGAGAAAGUAAAUCUGUUAUACCCAUGAUUUUGUUAGUAAGUAACAAACAAAAUAUAAAAUCAAAUGUCCUUAAUGCUUUAAGAAAACCUUUUGCAUCACCUCUUACACUUCCUGCGAGUUCUUUGUCGAUCAUCAUACUUUCAAGUAGCUGAGUAACCUCGUCAAAAAUAUGAACCAGAGUAUUAACAGAAGCAAAAUGAGAACCCCAUCGAGUCAUACCUGCUCUUUUUAAACUGCGAAUCUGAUUAAGACCUUUUCCUGUCUCAAGAUUUCCAUCUGCUAAACUUUCUAAGUGUUCUGCUUCCUGAAUAUCUCUUAACAGAUUAGUACGCUUUGAUGAAGAUCCGACAAAAUUGACAAUGGAGCUUAGCAUUUGAAAAAAUAUAUGCAUAUCAGGAACAUCUCUAGCACAUGCAUUUAAAGCUAAUUGUAACCGAUGAGCAAAGCAAUGAACGUAAUAUGCAUAUGGAUUGUCUUGAAGGAAUAAUGUCUUUAGUCCAUGAAACUGACCACGCAUAUUGCUAGCUCCGUCAUAUCCUUGACCACGAAUGUUUUGCACUUGGAGUUUGUUUGUAGAAAGCACAGAGCAUAUAUGUUCCUUGAGAGUAAUGGAAGUAGUGUCUUUAACACUAACAAUUUCAAAGUACCUUUCUCGAACAUAUCCUUCUUGAUCAACAAAUCUGAGAAUAAUUGCCAUUUGCUCCUUAUGAGAUACAUCAAGUGAUUCAUCAACUAGGAUACAGAACUUGGAAUCUCCAAUUUCUUGUCGAAUUUUACUUCGAAUCUUAGUUGCAAUGAUAUCUAAAAUUUCUUUCUGAAUCGAUGGUGCUAUGUACAUGGCAUGUUUGGGAGCAUUUUCAAGAACCACCUUAGCAAUUUCAUUCUCCAGACUUGCAUAACUCUUUAUCAUCUCAAUGAAAUGCCCUCUGCUACUAGAACUGGAAGAUUCAUCGUGACCUCUAAAGGGCAAUCCUUCUUUACCAAGAUACUUAACAGCUGCUAUCGUUGUUUUUAAACGCAACCUGUUCUGCCUCACAAUUUCUGGUGGAAGUUUCUCGAUCACUCGAUCAAUGUGUUGAGAUGUUUUUAGCAAAUCGGCCCAACUCUGAACAUUCCUUUUAUGUAAAGAAUUUGUUUGUCCAACAUGCUGCUCACAAAUUCCUUUUUUCCCAGCCAACAUUCUACUCCAAUUACAACAUCCUGUAGUUGUGAACAAAGGAAACUUUGGUGGAUUUUUUUCAAAAAGAAAACAAGGGAAGCAGAAUGCUUUAUCUUUUGCAACUGAAUAUUCCAACCAAGGAAACAAUGAAAACCAUCUAUGUUGAAAACGACGAUUAUCGCGUCCAUCAAAAGUUGUUGGGUAAUUUUGCAAUUUUGGUUGACAAGGACCCAAUUGUAGAUACUCUUUUCUUAUACGAUCUUGCUGAUUUACCGGAAAUGUACAUAUCAAAUCACGUAAUCCUGGAUCAGUUUGAACAGUUGGGGUUUUUGGAGCCUCAACAAUGAUUUCCAUUUCAUCUCUAGGCAAAGAAUUUGGGGAAUCAGGAGUCACUGGCGCAGGAUUAUUAGGUGUUGGUGCUUCAGUAGAAUCCCCUUCUCUCUUGUAAAAAGAAAAUAGUGACUUCAUUCUUUUUUUCGACCGUUGAACAGACAUCCUACAACCAGAAUUUUGAACAAGAGUCAAGAGAUAGUGAAGUUAGGUAAAAAAAAUUAAACACACUCAAGUGUUUAGCAACCAAGAAAUACUGAUACUGAUAAAAGUUAUGCCUUUAAUCUCAUAACACAACUAUAAAAACUUUGUGUAAAUUCAGAACUUCAAUUUUCUUUGAUGCAUUCUAUCAAACAGUUAGGCUACAAUUUGUAUACUUAAUAUAAAACAAGUCAAAACUUGUAACAAAGCUACCUGAAUUACUUUCUUCUAAAUGUUGAUUGAAAUAUCAAUUCAAUUAUCCAAAUUCCAAACUCCAGUUGAUAGUGCUCCGUGCUCGGCUGCUCGCGCUUGCUGACUUGCUCUCUCACCCAAUUUCUGUGUUAGACUAUUAGUGUGUAAUGUGUUACUGCGUUUUGUUUAUUUUAAGUUACCCACUCCAAAGUCCAAAAUAAAUAAAACACUAUUAUUUUUUUAAUUUUUCACCCAGCGGUAAAAUUAUUGACAGUAAAAAUUAGAAAUUUUCACCCAGCAUGAGCUGGGCCCGCUUACCUGUAAGUCCGCCUCUGUCAAUGACGAUUCCCGUCCCCCGGAGUAAACAUAUUCAGGAGCCGUGUAGGGGGGAGUGUUCAACGUGUAAUUGAUUGGAAAACUGUCAUGUGCUGUCUCUGCAAAUUCUAUGUCGAGCAGGUAUGGCUCGUCUGAAUUCCAUGAGCGAAAAAUUCCAGUAUCCUGUCCUGGUGAAAUUUCACCACCUCCUAAAUAUAACCGGUAAAGUUUUUCAAGUGCCGAGGAAUCAUUAACAUAAAAUCCCUUAAUUUGACCAAUCAUUUUAACGGCAACCUCAUUUCCUUUGAUGUAGAAAUCAUCAGGAAUGGAAACAAUUUCAAUGCCAUUGACAAAGACGUACGAGUUUGGAGAAGCUGUAAAAGUCACCUCCAGCACACGGCUUCGAUUGACUGUGAUGACAUAUUCUUUAACCAGAGUGAGUAUUCCGUGCUCCAGGUGUUGAAAGGCGUUGAAGUUAGAUAGGAGAUUGUGGUUUGCUGCAUCCACAGAAAAGAUUGACUCGUUUCUCGCGAAACCAAAAAUAUAAGACGUGGGGUAAAAAUAGAGGCGGAGAAAUUUCUGACCAGCGUCGGAGACAGGGAUUGCAUAUGUAAAUUUAGAAUGAGAUGCGCGGGCUGUGGAGUAAGAGCAAGUCCAAUAGGUUACCUAUCCUAUUACUUAUAAAUAAUAUAAAAUAAUGAGUGCUAGUAUGUCUUAAUGAUUUAGGUAAUCUAUUUAUAGUGUCAACUCCAAUAGUAAUCCCUAUAUGUGUUCUCCUAAGAUUAUUUUAAUAAUAAAUUUGAGAGUGAGAAGGGAAAAAGGGGAGAAUAGACAAAGAAAGAAGGAGAGAGAUGAUUAUUUUAUUAUUAAAUAUUAAAUAGGUAAUGACUAGGGGUUACUUAUAAAUAGCUAAUGGCUAGGAGAAUCAAGGUUGUGCUAGUGAUUUAGGAUAACACUAGGAUAGUGUUGGAGUGCAUUUUUUUGACACAUUACCUAAAUGUGAGUUUAGGACAUCAUAUAGGUAACCUAUUGGACUUGCUCAUCUACAUAAGCUCUUUGUGGUGCAGGCGCAGCUGUGGAGCUAUGGAAGUGAUUAUAGGUAAUGGUGUAAAUUUUGGUAGAUAAUCUGUGUCCCAUUCUCGUCCAUCCAGAGAAGUGUUGUAGUCCUUGGAAGCUUCGCCACAGUUGAUGAGAAUGUUAUCGGCAGGAAUGUAUGCCGGCGCGGGGGAGAUGUCGGACAUGACACCGUGGGAGAGCAAGAGGAAGAUGUACAAACAUAAACAAGGCAUCCUUUUAUCAAACUGGAGUUUAAGUGUUUAACUUGAGCAUUUCUUCGGGAAAUAAGCUUAAGAGUAGCAUUAUGUGCACAAAAUUACGUACGCUAUUAAUUGAGGAAAUAUAAGAUAAGGAGGACAUUCCAAUUUAUACUCAUCACAUAUUCACAUAUAGUACAAGAUUUUGUAUACGAUCAAAUAUUUUCCUAAGUUUAAACAUGAGUAGAAAAAUAAGUACUCCUUCCGUCUCGGCCAAUAAUACACAUUGAAAUAGAGACGCGAUACGAAUUUUAAUACUUCAAUAAAGUAUAGUUGUGCAAUUUAUUUUUAAAAAUUUCAUUUUUUAUAAAAAUAUAAUAUGUAUAUUUUUAUGAAAAAAAUUUAAAAAUAAUUUAUAAAAUUAUAUUUUACAAAAAUCUGAAAAAAUUGUGCCGAGCAAUGAAAAAGAACGUAUACAAUUGAAUGGGACGGAAAGAAUACGAGUCUAAGUCUUGGUCGUUGCUCUCAAAGUGGCUCAAGUAUGAGUUUACGUAUGAAUUCGGCUAUUAUUAGUUUAAUGCGUUGUUCAUGGAAUAAUUGGUAAGAAAUUGUUGAACCACAUAAAAUAUUUUAGAGUUGUUGAAUGUUGUGGUAGAAUUCAAUAAUCAAUCAAUACUACUAUAAAGAACUAAGCUGCCGGCUGUCCCGGACUUUUGAAUUUAUAAACCUUUUUAUAUAUAUCAUUUAUCGAUUAUAUAUAGUUCAAUUUUAGACAUUAGCUAAUUUAUUUUGGUUAAUUUGACUUGAUCCAACCAAAGUUUUCUCAAAACAUUACUCCCUCGGUCCUCUUUUACAUGUUCAUUUUGAAAAAAAAAAUACACAUAUCAAAGAAUAAUUGAUUUUAUAAAUUUUUUUCCCUCAAUACCUCUAACUAAUGUCUUGAAAAUGGUGGAAUACCUCUAAUUAAUGUCAUGAAAAUAAAAAUUAUAGGGUAAGAUUUGAAAAACUAUCAUUAAAUUUGUUUGAAAGUGUAGAUGGACAGAUAAAUAAGGACAAUAUUUGUUUUGAAAAUCGACAUGUAAAAGGAGACGGCGGGAGUACAUGAUUCGAAUACCCGAAACAAAAAUAUAAAAAACAUCUAUAUUUAUUGUAAUAAAAAUGUAAAUAAAUAUGACACACAUUGAUAUCAUAAUGAAAAUUUAAAUAAGCAUCACAGAUUAUUCAAAGAUUAUCAAAAUAUUAUCGAAAAAUUGUCUUAAUCGAGAUUGAUAUGAAGAAAAUAUGUCAAAAGAAAAAGCAACUUGAUAUACCUUAAAAUUUAAUAUCCAUCAUUAAUAGAAUUGAAAAUUAACAGUACAAAGUUUUAGAUUAGAAUUAUCAUUUUGGAAUAAUUGGACAAUAAUUAUAAUCAUUAAUAAAUGAGUUUUUUUUGAAUAACAUCAUUAAUAAAUGAGUUAAUUCAAUAAUAUGAUAUUUUAUUAUUGAAUUAAAUCAUUUAUCAAUAAAAAAAAUACUUCUCUAAACAUUAAUCAAAUAUUCUAAGCCUUUACCAUUAUAAAUAUGUAGAUUUAUCUCGCUUGUUGAGAAAAAUUAGAAAAUCAAGAAAACUUCUCCAAACAUUAAUCAAAUGUCACUCUAAACCUUGCUCAUAUGGCAAGUCCUGCAUAACCAGUGGCCUAGCACACAACACUUCAAACAAAACGAAUACACGUCUGAUUUGGUAGUUAAUUGCCGCCGUAGGUAAUAUUCUGGAUCUGACUGCUUGCAGAUGGUACAAGCCAUUCGAAGCUCCUUCAUGUGCUUCAUGUGUUUUAGAUAUUUUCGUUUACACUGACGUGUAGGUGUCCGUGUGUGCGGAAUUGGUUUAUAAUGCAUGAGAGUGGAAUUGGUUAUAAGUUAUAACACAUGAGAGUAUGUGACAACUAAGAGCAAGUCCAAUGCUAGAUGCUAUAUAUCCAUUGCUAUUGCUAUAAUAUAGCACCAAAAAAUAUUUUUUGGUGCUAAAAUAAAACUUGCACUCCAAUGCUAAGUUCUAUAACUAGUUUCAAAUUUAACCAACUCAUUAACUUUUACCUAACUUCUAUAUAGAACCAACUCAUUAACUUUUACCUAACUCAUUAACCCAUUAACUAGUUUCCAAUUUCUAGUUAUUGAUGAUGUGGCAACAUCGAUGGAUCCAUCCUUGGUUUCAAAUAUAGAACCAAGGAUGCAUCUAAGCAUGGAUGCAUCCAAAUAUAGCACCCCUUUGGAGUUGAGUUUUUUUACUUUUGAUGCUAUAAUAUAGCAAUAGAACCAAGUAUAGCAUUGCAUUGGAGUUGCUCUAACUACCAGGAUCCUUUAAAAUUUCAACCAUAAUCAUGUAUAUCAGAAAGCAAGAAGAGAGGAGUGCGAGUAAUCUAUUUUAUUAUUACAAUAGAAGGUUUAGCUUCAUCAUGAAUGCAGGGGGAAUCCAGACAACUGUCUCCGGUUAUAAAGGUUUAAACCAAGUUUAACCAGUGCCUUACAAUUCCAGAUCGUUUUCUUUUUUCCGCCUUUGCAUUGUCUCAUUUUGUACUCUUCUUUCCUCUUUCACAAUGCUGUCAACCUUAUCGUGCAUUCGGGUUCAGAAUAUCAGAGAAUACACUUCCAACUCCAGACUUGAAUCCGUCACUUCCUGUACUUGAGGUUGACGCUUCGCCACUUGUAGCAUUGGCCACAAUAUUAGUUGAAAGGAGGUUAUCAUGGUCUAACAUUUCAAAAGUCUUUUGAAGCUGCAAUGCUGAUUCCAGGCCCCAAACAACAUUGCUCAUGGUAGGCCUAUCAGUCCCGUGGUCCCUUAGGCAGCUAUAUCCGACCUCUCCAAACUUUUCAAGACUCUCAGCUGUAAUCUCCCCUGCAACAUUCUUAUCCACUAUUUCACCAAGUAGACCAUUCCUGUAACAAUUUCGAGACCACUCGGCUAAAUUCAUCUGCUCAUAUGGCAAGUCCUGCAUAAUCACUGGCCUAGCACACAACACUUCAAACAACACCACUCCAAACGAAUACACGUCUGAUUUGGUAGUUAAUUGCCGCCUUAGGUAAUAUUCCGGAUCCAAGUAUCCAAAACUACCCUUCACUAUUGUGCUCAUGUGUGUGACAGACGUGCCACUAGGACCCAUUUUCGACAAACCAAAAUCUGAAACCUUGGCAACCAUUUUCUCAUCCAACAAUAUAUUAGUCGACUGCACAUCACGAUGGAUUAUUAUGCGCUCUGCACCUGCAUGGAGAUAAUGCAGUCCCUUUGCCGCAUCUAUGCAAAUUUGUAGCCUUUGCUUCCAAGACAAUGGGGGAUUAUCUCCCCCAUAUAGAUGAGCUCGGAGGGUUCCGUGAUCCAUGUAUUCAUAAACCAGUAUCAUCUCUCCAGUAUCAUCACAACAUCCGAUCAGGGGAACAAGGUGGCGGUGGCGCAGAUUUGAUAGGAUGGUGAUCUCUGUAUGAAACUCGUGAGCCCCUUGUCGUGAUGAUGGGUUUAACCGCUUGAUCGCUACAGGGCAUGUACCCUUUUUCAUAUACCCUUUAUAAACGUUACCAAAACCUCCAGUCCCAAUAACAAAAUUUUCAUCAAAAUUUUUGGUGGCCAAUUUUAUAUCCUCCACAGAAAACUUCAGGUUUCUGACAGAAGGCAAUAAAGAAAUGUCUGUGGUAG
This 9157-nucleotide long non-coding RNA is filed under the name Daucus carota (carrot). Its description in RNAcentral is "long non-coding RNA (DCAR_LNC005164)". Lineage: Eukaryota; Viridiplantae; Streptophyta; Magnoliopsida; Apiales; Apiaceae. The record is from RNAcentral.